ACGGGGGGUGCAAGCGUUGUUCGGAAUUAUUGGGCGUAAAGAGCGUGUAGGCGGCUCGGUAAGUCAGAUGUGAAAGCCCUGGGCUUAACCCAGGAAGUGCAUUUGAAACUGCCAGGCUAGAGUAGGGGAGAGGGAAGUGGAAUUCCUGGUGUAGAGGUGAAAUUCGUAGAUAUCAGGAGGAACACCGGUGGCGAAGGCGACUUCCUGGCCCUAUACUGACGCUAAUACGCGAGAGCGUUGGUAGCAAAAAG
RNAcentral lists this ribosomal RNA (251 nucleotides) under uncultured prokaryote. RNAcentral describes it as "partial 16S rRNA". It matches the Rfam family "Bacterial small subunit ribosomal RNA", at positions 525 to 775 of the family's 1533-position model. The record is from RNAcentral.